CCAGUGUAAAUGACACGAACUGUCUCCUCAGUAAGAAGAAAACACUUGUAGUACAAACUGGAUCCGUGGAAUCGGGAGGCCGUAAUGGUUCACUUGCUGUAGAUGACGGUGUAACAGGAGACGGAAUCUGGUGGGCCUAUUCUGUAAAACGGGCUUGGAGCGUCACAUUUUUUAACCCAUGAAAAUCCCCAUAGCAAGUGUAAGAUCGCCGUGUGCAGCUCUGGUUUUCUGACAAUUAAGGCCGUAUUGGGGACGCGAGCACCAGGAAGGUGAGAGAUAUCAGUUUACAGAAAACAGUCCCAGGCAAGAUUCCCUCCAAAGAGGCCCAGCGAGGCCUAGCUGCCUGAAAUACAAUCUGACAGGGCCCUCCUACAGAAGAGACUGGUAAUUAUGGCUUGUCUGGCUAAUAAGGAUGAGAGCAGAGAGCCUGACAGGUGAGGAGGAAAGCCUGGGAAGAAAUGUUUGUGGUUUAAGGGUCUGUCGUGUUGCGGCAGCAGAUUCUGCCCACAGCGGGAGUGUGAACAAGGGCCUAAAACAAGCCUGGCUCUGAUUGCACCACCAUUCAGGCUCAAAUCACAAAACAAGGUUGCUUCUGUCCUAUUGUGAUGUAAAACUUCAGUGUUAAAAGCUGAUUAGGGACCGACCUCCUCAUCAUAUUAUAUCCAUGACUAAUCCUACAAUUUCACCCCCUCCUCCUCUCCGCCUAAUGUCGUAGACAACAAAGUGCUAUCAAAACCC
Molecule: long non-coding RNA, 738 nt
Organism: Pseudophryne corroboree (corroboree frog)
Lineage: Eukaryota; Metazoa; Chordata; Amphibia; Anura; Myobatrachidae
Exons: 3
Source: RefSeq, a predicted model, not a curated record